GCUCUAUUGGCGCAAUUGGUUAGCGCGCGGUACUUAUAAUGCCGAGGUUGUGAGUUCGAGCCUCACAUAGAGCA
This is a non-coding RNA of Panonychus citri (citrus red mite), 74 nucleotides long. Lineage: Eukaryota; Metazoa; Arthropoda; Arachnida; Trombidiformes; Tetranychidae. The record is from the annotation of a RefSeq genome assembly.